RNAcentral lists this ribosomal RNA (328 nucleotides) under uncultured Thauera sp. RNAcentral's name for it is "bacterial SSU rRNA". It matches the Rfam family "Bacterial small subunit ribosomal RNA", at positions 1054 to 1382 of the family's 1533-position model. Lineage: Bacteria; Pseudomonadati; Pseudomonadota; Betaproteobacteria; Rhodocyclales; Zoogloeaceae. The record is from RNAcentral.
GUCAGCUCGUGUCGUGAGAUGUUGGGUUAAGUCCCGCAACCGAGCGCAACCCUUGUCAUUAGUUGCCAUCAUUUAGUUGGGCACUCUAAUGAGACUGCCGGUGACAAACCGGAGGAAGGUGGGGAUGACGUCAAGUCCUCAUGGCCCUUAUGGGUAGGGCUUCACACGUCAUACAAUGGUCGGUACAGAGGGUUGCCAAGCCGCGAGGUGGAGCCAAUCCCUUAAAGCCGAUCGUAGUCCGGAUCGUAGUCUGCAACUCGACUACGUGAAGUCGGAAUCGCUAGUAAUCGCAGAUCAGCAUGCUGCGGUGAAUACGUUCCCGGGUCUU